GAAGUGUCUCAUGGUUCAUACGUGGUGGCACCUGGAACUUUACUACGUGUAAAUGAUGCAGCACCAAUCUCAUCCGCAGGGGGUGCAGUAGCAUCACUUGGUGGUGGCCAGUCAGCAAGUAUGUCCAGUACUCUAUUUGUCAGCCUAGAAGCGAGCAUCGGUGGUGGCUCACAGUUGCUAGCAGAAUUGUACGCAGAAGAUGACGUCACUUCGGCACCUAUGUCGCCUCCGAAAGUACUGGAGAAAACGACACGUCCAUCUACAACCGAUCAUCUACAUCCGGAGUUACACUCAUAUCCGGAGAAAUUUCUUCAGACGAUUAACCAGGUAAUGUUGAACGGGAGUGGGCGACGGUGUCUAGCAAACGCCGAGGAACCGGCGGAAUUUGUGGACGCAAAUACGAAGGAGUGUUGGCAUCAUGCUAUGAAAGAAGAGUUGGGGUCGAUCCAUGACAAUAAUACAUGGGAGCUUGUGGAUCUUCCCAACAAUGAAAAAGCUAUAGAGCUCAAGUGGGAAUUCAAGAUCAAGAAAGAUGUUGAAGGGUGCAUGAAGCACAAAGCAAUGUUUGUAGCCAAAGAGUAUGUGCAAGAGGAAGGUGUGGAAUUCGAAGAAGUGUUCGUUCCCAUUGCAAAGAUGGAGUCGGUGAGAUUACUCAUCUCUCUCACGGCUCAGGAAUCAUGGAAAGUACAUUACAUGGAUGUAAAAUCCGUGAUUUUGAAUGUCGAGUUGAAAAGAGAUGUGUAUGUGAAUCAGUCACCGAGCUUCAUCAAAGAGGGAGAAGAACACAAGGUACUGAAGUUACAUAAAGUCUUGUACAGGCUACAGGAAGACCCUCGUGAGUGGAACAUCAAACUUGAUCAGACGAUGAUUUCUCUUGGAUUUGAGAAAGCCCCACUAGAACAUGCAAUGUACAAGAGAGGUGAAGGAAGGGACCGUCUACUAGUUGGCAUCUAUGUCGACUACCUAUUAAUUACCGGAGCAGAUGAAGAGUUGAUUGCAAAGUUCAAGCUACAGAUGAAAGAGCUUUUCAAGAUGGAUGAUCUCGGUCUUUUGAGCUACUACCCUGGGAUAGAGGUACAUCAAAAGACGGAGGGAAUCACACUAUGCCGGGAGGCAUACACAAGAAAGCUACUUGAAAGCCGUGGCAUGAAAGAUUGCAAUCCAAUUGAUGCUUCAAUGGAA
This 1182-nucleotide ribosomal RNA is filed under the name Triticum aestivum (bread wheat). RNAcentral describes it as "partial small subunit ribosomal RNA". The record is from RNAcentral. Lineage: Eukaryota; Viridiplantae; Streptophyta; Magnoliopsida; Poales; Poaceae.